GGAGAAUGUUUUAAGAAAAAGGUGUUUAUAAUGGACCAAAGAAAUACAUAUGUUAUCUUUUAAAAAAUAUUUAACUCGAGUGAAGCUCCUGUAUUGCAAGCCUCAAGACCCAGAAGUUCACUGGAGAUUUUUACUCAUAGUUUAAAGAAAUGUUCAGAUGUCCAAAGGAGCAGUGCAGGUGACUUGAAAGCAAUAACUUAUGGUAUCACACUCUUCAAGAUGCUUUGUAUCAGUGUCUUGUCUCGCUUUCCUGAUGUGCAAAUGAAGCUUGUCCAAUAUGUGUUACCCCAGAAAGAAUUAAGAUAAUUGAAGUCAGAAUAUCUGAACUUGGAUCGCUUGCAAGUAAGGAUGAUCUGCAUGCACAUGUUCUGUAAAGAUAAUGGUGAACAGAUCCAGAUGAUUCCUGAUUUAAAGCUACAGAAGAGGGAGUAAUCCUGAUUCCUAUAUUAAAAGGAGGGGAAUUUCAUGAUGGGGAGAAGACUGAGAAUGUGUGUAACCUUUCUGCUCUGAGGCUGGAAGUACUGAAGAAUGGACAUGAGCCAGAGACACGAACAGGAAGAGCCAAAAGCCUGAGGGACCUUUGGCCAUUCAGAGAACAUUCACCAGCUUUAACUAGCUGUUCUCUGUCCUAUGCUUGUUGACUGUUCCACUCGCUUUCUGCCUCUUUACUUCUGCUUCAAUCCUGUUUGCACUGCAUGCUUUUUUUCCCCCAAUCUGCCCUUCUUCGUGCUUUUUAAAGUUUUUUGUUUGGCUGACUUUUUUUUUUUUUUGCUUUUUUUGUUUG
This 784-nucleotide long non-coding RNA is filed under the name Gallus gallus (chicken). Its description in RNAcentral is "long non-coding RNA NONGGAT001312". The record is from RNAcentral. Lineage: Eukaryota; Metazoa; Chordata; Aves; Galliformes; Phasianidae.